UAAUACUCGCGGUCCGAGUCGCAGCCAUUUUUAUUGGGUCUAAAAUAUCCGUAGCUUGCUUGAAAAGUUUCUUGUGAAAUCUCAUGUCUUAAACACGGGGCGAGCGAGAAAUACUUUCAAGCUAGAGACUGGAAGACGUAGAAAGUACGUUCAGAGUAGCGGUUGAAUGUGUUAAUCCUGAACGGACUAACGAGAGCGAAGGCAUUUUACGAGGACAGUUCUGACAGUUAAGGAUGAAGGCUAGGGGCGCAAAGCGGAUUAGAUACCCGUGUAGUCCUAGCAGUAAACACUGCAUACUAAACAUCAGUACCUCCCCGAGAGGCAUUGGUGCUGCAGGGAAGCCGAAGAGUGUGCUACCUGGGAAGUAUAGUCGCAAGGCCG
This 381-nucleotide ribosomal RNA is filed under the name uncultured archaeon. RNAcentral describes it as "bacterial SSU rRNA". It matches the Rfam family "Archaeal small subunit ribosomal RNA", at positions 471 to 851 of the family's 1478-position model. The record is from RNAcentral.